RNAcentral lists this ribosomal RNA (304 nucleotides) under uncultured bacterium. RNAcentral describes it as "partial 16S ribosomal RNA". It matches the Rfam family "Bacterial small subunit ribosomal RNA", at positions 509 to 807 of the family's 1533-position model. The record is from RNAcentral.
CAGCAGUCGCCGCGGUAAUACGAAGGGUGCAAGCGUUAAUCGGAAUUACUGGGCGUAAAGCGUGCGUAGGCGGUGAGUUAAGUCUGCUGUGAAAUCCCCGGGCUCAACCUGGGAAUGGCAGUGGAUACUGGCUCGCUAGAGUGUGUCAGAGGAUGGUGGAAUUCCCGGUGUAGCGGUGAAAUGCGUAGAGAUCGGGAGGAACAUCAGUGGCGAAGGCGGCCAUCUGGGACAACACUGACGCUGAGGCACGAAAGCGUGGGGAGCAAACAGGAUUAGAUACCCGAGUAGUCCCUGUCUCUUAUAC